Zonotrichia albicollis (white-throated sparrow) is the source of this 6631-nucleotide long non-coding RNA. RefSeq lists it as uncharacterized. The record is from RefSeq and is a predicted model, not a curated record. NCBI's taxonomy places the organism in Eukaryota, Metazoa, Chordata, Aves, Passeriformes, Passerellidae.
ACAAACAGAAAAUGUUUAGAAAGUUUUUUCUAAGCAAUUCAGCAUGGAAGGACUUACUAAGAUUCUGCCACUCUUCCUAAGACUGGCAGUCACACCUCUCAGUGCUACACUCGGGUGGUUUUUUUUUCUUGAAAUGAUCAGCAUAAGCUUUUUUUCUCAUUGCAAGCAAACAAACAAGCAUCUCUCUUUUUCCAUGCAAACUCACUGUUUAUUGAAACAAGGACCUCUAAUUGUUAUGUGACUUAACAAAGCCAGAGGCCAGCCCAAGAGAGAGAUACCAGUGCCAGCAGCUCAGGAUUUUAGAUUACUGAUUAAUGAAAAGUUAAAGGGGCCCAAUUUUCAGAAGUGGUUUAUCUUUCAAAUUUUUAAACUCACACCCACUCACACAUCCAAACUCACAAGCCACAUUUAAAAAUCAUACAUGUGAAAUCAGUAAGAUACUAAUACCAAUGAGUCUACUACAUAUGUAAUAUUAUACAUUCCAUUUAUACAAAAAAGUACUUUUAACUCAGAAAAAUAUUUUUAUUGCUCCUUCAUGACUAUAUAUCUGCCAUCUCUAACAAUUUCAGUGCCCAUUGCCAGUGUCCAAACAUUCUAUUUUUCACAUUCAAGCUUCAGUUUCAAAAUGAUCUCUUUUUCACCAAAGCUAGCACUCUCCUGCCUGUGUUACUGUCCUUGUGAUGGCUGCUCUCCUGUAGGCAGCUGCAUGUCACCUUGCAGAGCUCCCCUGUGUUGGGGCAUCUGAAGGCAAAGGCAGGAGCAGGGGAGAGAGGAGGUUUGGGUGGUUGAGUUGGAUGGGUUUUCUUUACGUAAACAGCACUUCGGAUUCUGCAGUCUGAGGCAUCUGACUGAAAAGGCUGACAGAGGAGGAGCACAGAGAAGUAUAAGGAGUGAAAGACAAGGAAUGAGGAAUGUUGUUGCAGGAGGUGGUAAUGAGAGCCCAUUUGAUAGCAGUGAAUUGUGGAGGUAUGAGUGGAAAACAAGUGAGGCAGACUGCUGUCUUGCCUCAUGAUGAAAAAGAAGGUAGAACCAUAAAGUAAGCACAGAUGUUCCUCAAAUCAGUAAAUAUUUAGUGUUCAAGAUGAACAGUUUUGAACUGAAUAGGGACAGAUUCCCAUCUCUUCUUCUUACAAAUCCAGGAUGCCUGUGCACUCAUGCAGUAGUUAUUCUCCAAUUUGUUCUCAAUCUUAGCUUGGUAGUAUUUAUCCUUUGGAAAGCAGAAAAAGCAUUUUGUUAUGGACUGAUACAGCAGAAAAAGUAAGAAAGGGAGGAAAAGGGUCACUGGGGAGGUGGAAUCCCUUCCACAGGAGAAAAGGUUUAGAAAACAUGGCUGAGCAGAAGACUAUGGGAGAUCUAUGAAAUUCUGACUAGGGGAUGUGUCACCAUUUCUCUGAUUGCAAUAACUGUGGGAGGAAGGCAGCCAGUUGCAAGGCUUAGAGGUCUAAAGAUCUACAUCUAAUGAAAGGAAGUACUUCUUCACACAAUGUGUGAUUAAAUUGCCACGGAAUCCUGGAAAAAGCAAAGGUAAAAAUAGGUUCAAAGAGAACUUGAUCAAAUUCACAGGAAGAGCCAUUACACAUCUCAUAUUUGGCUUAGGAAGUUCCUGAACAACAGAAUACUAAAUUGGGAAUGUCUACUGGGAGAACUAGUGCUUAGUUCACAGACUUUAUACUUUACACACUCUCCUUUAUACUUUUCCUAAGUAUCUGCUAUGGGCCCCUGGCAGAGAAAAGCUAUCAUACUGGUAUGAGUGAUUAGAGAGACACUAGCAUUAGGUUUACAUUACAGUGAAAAUCUAUUGUGAAUCCAAUCCAUGUUAGUUUUUUUUAGAAAUUGCUUUAAUUUGACCACCAACCUGACAAAUCCCUUAUCUGCACUGAGGUAUACAAACACACAGAACACACACACAACACAUACACAAAAACAUGUGUGCCCACACAGGCACAUGCUGACUGAGGAUUUCUUUUUAGUCAUUUAGUCAGGGUUCACUGACAGCCAAGUCAUUAGUACACAGUGUACUUUUCCACACCUUCCAUAGCACUGGUGAGAAAAGCAAAUGCCUUAGUUCAGGCUUGCUCGUCUCCAUGUUCCUUCCUCCAUUUCACAGCCACCUUCUGCUUUCUCUGGUGCCCUAGACUCUGACAUUCUUCUGUUUCAGAUGACCACUUGUGUUUUCAGUUAACACCCUGGCUUUCCAGUGUAGGCCAAAACCCAAAUGUGAAAGCAUCAAAGUCUGCUUGACAGGAGGAUGUAUUGCUGGAGGCUCUACAUUUCAAGGCUUUCAGGAGUGUGCUCUUAACUGGGUUCAGUAUGAGCUAGUACCAGCAAACCCAGACUCUGCUGAACAAAUGAAAUAGAAUGACCUACUUUUUUUGCCUUUGUUUUAUCUAUAUAAUAGUAUGCUACAGGUUUGCAUGACAGUUUCUUGGCACUGGAUUAUGUAACUUAUCUGUCUUCAAAAGAAAAACAACUUGGCAAUAGAAUAUAGCAUCAGUUCAAAAUUAAAAAAAAAAACUUCCAAGGAAAUGUAUUUUGAAUAAAAUGGAAAUGUAGGAAGGCACUUACUAUCUGCCUGCCUCCAACUCAUCUGUAAAAAAUGCCUAAUAGAUGGUAAUUUUAGUCUCUGACACAGCUUCCUCACUCACUUCCAGGAUGUUUUACUCCUACAAAGUACCAUUUGUGUUCCACAUGAGCCUUUUUUGCUUUGCUCUCACUUAAAACUCCAUACUAGAGGAGAGCUGUUGAAGCUAAUGAUAAAGUUUUUGCAACUUCUACCAUAUAAAACAUUCACAAGUUUACCUAAAAAAAAAAAGGAAAAGGUUCAAAACAGAGGUUUGCUUCUUCUUCUGCUUUCAGGCUUGGUCCUUUUGUACUCAGUUGUGCCCUGCAGGCACAAGGUGUAAUAAUUACAUCUUCAGAGAACUGCAGCAGAUAUUUGGCCUAGGGUGCAGAAAGCCAUGAAACCUCAGACUGGAUAAACCAGUAUGGAGAACAACAGAAUGAAGUGUUUUGAACAACAACAUGGUCACUUGUUGGCAUUCAGCUCUCAGCUUCUAAGUCUUUGGCUUUCUUUUGCAAAACAUGUUUGCAAUUCAACUUAGAUAAUUCCUUCCUUAAAAAAACUUCAAACCCAAAAUUCCAGAAAAGAUAUGAAUUUCAAACCAACAAUCAAUCUCACAGGUAUUUAGGUUAAACUCAGCCUUACUUUACCCACUGACUGUCCUCCUCCUUGGUGGUGGGCUUCUCUGCUAAGGUUGCAGCUGCUGUCAGCAGAACAAAACAAACUGCAGAAGGAGUUAGCAGAUUGGGUACCAUGUUUCUAAUGGCAGGAACAAUAUUCCUGCUCCAACCCCAGUCCUUGCAGCUGCUCAUCUUUGUUCAUCACAUUGUUUAAAGCUAGUUGGUUUAUUUGUUUUUUCCCAACUCUUGGCCUUUUCAUUGCAGAGCAGAGAUGCUGGCUGGAGCACUCAGCCUCCCUCCAGGGCUUGGUCUGGUGCAGGGAGGCUAUUGCCAGCCAGCAGGGUGUGAUCAGAAAUUCAUGGCCAUUUCUGCCAAGGCAGCAGCCCAUCAGCUGGCUGGGAGCCACCAGGGCUGUAAGCAUUCCCUCCACUCACGGCAUUUGUGGCCAGAGAAGGAGAUUGGCCCAAAAAGAUUUGCCUUUUGUGGACCAGAGCAGGAGUUCCUCCUCCAAGGAGGAACAGGUUGGGAGGUGAUGUGGGGAAUGAGUCCCACCAGGAUGGGACUGGCCAGAGGAAUGGGUGUGGGUUGCAAGGGACAUUUAAAGGUCAUCUAGUCCAACUUCCCUGCAAUGGGCAGGGACAUCUUCAACUGGAUCAGGUUGCCCCAAGCCCUGUUCGGCCUGACCUUGAGUGUUUCCAGGGAUGGGACACCUACGACUUUCAGAAUUUCCCACUGGAAUGGCUUCCACCAUGGAGAACAGAGAUAGCCAGAAAAUGCUGCAGAGAAAAGCCAUGCAAGUAGUUCACAGAAUCACAGAAUAUUCUUAGUGGCAAGAGACCCCAAAGGAUCAUCAAGUCCAACUCUUAGCCCUGCACAGGACAUCCCCUAAAUGUCAUAUCACAUACUUUCUGCUUAGCUUACCCAAAACACAGACUUGAAAGGUCUACUCUAAAGAGAAAAGUGUUGAGAAGUUUGAGUUAGCGUUAGGGAAGAACAGCAAAACCUGAGUAUUUUUUCUUGGACAGUAAAUAACCAAACUCAAACACCUACAGGAAAAAACCAGAAAAAUAUGAGUUUAUAUAGUAACAAAAUCCAUAGAUGUGAGGGUUUUUUUUUUCCUGGAGGAGACAGCACAGAGUUUUUGUUUGAUUAUUUGCUUUAUGUUACCAUAUUGCUAUUUCAAAUGAUUCCAUUUUAUACCAUAUCAAGAGGUGUGCUGUGGUAGGGUGUACUUUGUGUAUCUUGUGGUAAGACACAGUUUUGUGCAUCAAGAUAUGGGGGCACCUUCCUUGGUGCCCCAGAAACCAGAGAAGAGGAAGAACGACCAACUGUCUACUGCAGUCUCCUAUGGCAGUGUUCUUCCUCCAGAAACUAUCAUUGUUUCAGUAUUCAAAGAUUCUUGUGAUGGUAAAUCAGGUACAAUUACCAGCUGAUGGUACAUCUAGAAGGAUGAAUGAGACAAUUUUGGAGGUGAGAAUGAAAUAGGAGAAGAUCUUGGGGCAGGCAAGAUAAAUUGCAAGAGAGACUAAAACUGAUUACAGAGCCAUGGGACUGAAAACUCCUUGUUCAAGAAGAAUGCAUGCUAAUUGUUUUUGGCAGAAUAAAUUAUUCCUUUUUUUUCUGCUUCAGUAGAACUGGUUGACUUUUAGCAACUCAAUUAUCUUCUCUAAGUGAGGAGGGUGGUCCCUUGAGGUCAAGAAGAAGUUACAUGUAGAAAGAAAGGACAAACAGAAAUGCACAGAAAUUGAAGUGCCCUGAGAUUGCAUGCAUGAGUUUCAUGAGGUAGAAUUUUCAAAACUGCCCUGGAAGGAAAAAGGGAACAACAUUUUGGUUAGAGUUUUGUCAGCAUCAUGGGGAAGGUCAGGUGAGAGAUAAAAGAUUAACAGCAGUAAGAUCAUGAGGUUGAAAAAAAUGUGUACCAAUUUCUCUCCAAGAGAAUGACCAGACAGAGUUACUCUAUAAAUGCUAGAAAUCACAGAGCUGCUGUUAGGGAAUGGGUCUGAAAAAUAUUAUUGAAAACCAGCAGCAUAAAAACUGAGGAUAAGAUAAACAGCAGCAACGGAUCCAGUCGUAAUGUGGUCAGGUAGCAGGAAGCACAUUUAUCCUUUGAGCAGUACAAGAGGAGGAGGAGGACUGAGGCAUUUGUCUUGGCAGGAGGCCCAGGAGAAAGUGAAGGGCCAAUGAAAGGUCUGAGGCGAGAUGGAAGACUGAAGAGAGAGAGCUCUCCUGUGAAGAUGCUCUGUUUUUGAAUUACUUAGGCCAAGAAAUGGAGGCAAACCACUUUGCUUACCUGGUCCAAACACAGAAGAAGGAAUAUUUAAAAGGACAUGAGGAGGUAAGACUCCCUAGUGUGAGAAUCACAAUCGUAUGAGGUGAAGGAAAGGGGAAGGAAAGAGCAGGAAGCCAAGAAGAAGACUGAAAGUUGUGGUAGGGCUUUUGGUGCAUUAGGCAAAGAGCUUUAUUGUUUUGUAACAGUGUAAUUAAUAGCUUAGACUGUCAAGGAAACACGAUCAAUUUACUGUAUUUAUCCUUCCUGCUGUGUCAUUCUUCUCAUUUUACAUUUAUUUAGUAUUUUUGGAAUAUUUUUAAAGACAUUAAUUUCUCAAAGAUUCAGCUAAAAGGGGCUUUUCUUAGGCUUUGCAGAUGUUAUGGUGCAGGAACAGUGAAGAAUGUACUGUAUUUACAAUUCCAUUCCUGUAACAGAUAAUCAAUACAUUGUGCUCUGCUGUGUUAUGAAAAAAAAAAAAGGAGUAUGAGUGCCCAGCUGUGAUGAUAAGCCCUUUGUGUCUUGAGUGCACUCAUUUUCUAAGGAUUAGGGGCUGUCCUUUAUCAGGCAGUUCACUUCUGAAAGUCCAUGAUAGAUUGCUGCUUUCCCCUCUGCUCCAAACAGCAGCAACCUCAACUUUAUCAGCAAGGAAACCCCCAAACACUGCUGUCAGUAGCUUUUCCAGAAAAUUAAUUGCAAAAUUCAAGGUUUGGGAGAGCUUAGAACACUAUCGUUGCUUCACAGAUGUUGCGGUCAGGCAGACGGAGCCCAUGUGAAUGAGAAAACCACAGGUUUCUUAUUUUGAGUCCACAAUUAAAGCCUCCAAGUUUCAAGGCUGGCAAGGUUGUAGUAAAGAGGAAACCAGACUCACAGGGAGGAAAGAAGAGGCAAGCAAGAAGAUGCCAAUAAAGGCAGAGAAGACAGAAAAUGGAGGUAGAAAGAAAAGUCUGCACAUACUCAAGGAUCUCCACUGCUUUCCUGUGAUACUGGCGCCUCACUGGACCCAUGAGGCAUUUUUGCAAUACACAUAAUAAAGAAAUGGUGGUAAGAGACACAUGGAAAAGAACAAUUAAGAACAACAAUGAGAAAAAAAUUUACAGGAAUGUGCCUCAUUAGAGUUAUGAUAAUAAACAAUUAUCUGUAUUUCUGGUGAUAAUGAUCCUGAAGUUCACUCUCUUUACUUAU